RNAcentral lists this ribosomal RNA (478 nucleotides) under uncultured bacterium. RNAcentral's name for it is "partial 16S ribosomal RNA". It matches the Rfam family "Bacterial small subunit ribosomal RNA", at positions 28 to 507 of the family's 1533-position model. The record is from RNAcentral.
GAUGAACGCUGGCGGCGUGCCUAACACAUGCAAGUCGAACGGAGUCCAGCCUUUAAGACCUUCGGGUCAAAGAGGGGAAGACUGAGUGGCGGACGGGUGAGUAACACGUGGGCAACCUGGCUCAUAGAGGGGGAUAACAGAGAGAAAUUUCUGCUAAUACCGCAUAAGCACACCCUGCCGCAUGGCAGAGGGUGAAAAGAGAAUCGCUAUGAGAUGGACCCGCGUCUGAUUAGCCAGUUGGCAGGGUAAGAGCCUACCAAAGCGACGAUCAGUAGCCGAUCUGAGAGGAUGAACGGCCACAUUGGGACUGAGACACGGCCCAAACUCCUACGGGAGGCAGCAGUGGGGGAUAUUGCACAAUGGGGGGAACCCUGAUGCAGCGACGCCGCGUGAGUGAAGAAGUAUUUCGGUAUGUAAAGCUCUAUCAGCAGGGAAGAUAAUGACAGUACCUGAAUAAGAAGCCCCGGCUAACUACGUG